RNAcentral lists this ribosomal RNA (478 nucleotides) under uncultured bacterium. RNAcentral describes it as "bacterial SSU rRNA". It matches the Rfam family "Bacterial small subunit ribosomal RNA", at positions 25 to 518 of the family's 1533-position model. The record is from RNAcentral.
CAGGACGAACGCUGGCGGCACGCUUAACACAUGCAAGUCGAACGGAGUUAUCGAGAGCUUGCUUAGAUAACUUAGUGGCGGACGGGUGAGUAACACGUGAGCAAUCUGCCUUAAGAGGGGGAUAGCAGUUGGAAACGACUGAUAAUACCGCAUAAGAUAGUAGUACCGCAUGGUACAGCUAUAAAAGAUUUAUCGCUUAAGGAUGAGCUCGCGUCUGAUUAGCUAGUUGGUGAGGUAACGGCUCACCAAGGCAACGAUCAGUAGCCGGACUGAGAGGUUGGACGGCCACAUUGGGACUGAGACACGGCCCAGACUCCUACGGGAGGCAGCAGUGGGGAAUAUUGCACAAUGGAGGAAACUCUGAUGCAGCGAUGCCGCGUGAGGGAAGAAGGUUUUAGGAUUGUAAACCUCUGUUGACAGGGACGAUAAUGACGGUACCUGUUGAGGAAGCUCCGGCUAACUACGUGCCAGCCGCCGC